This 444-nucleotide ribosomal RNA is filed under the name uncultured bacterium. RNAcentral describes it as "partial 16S ribosomal RNA". It matches the Rfam family "Bacterial small subunit ribosomal RNA", at positions 355 to 810 of the family's 1533-position model. The record is from RNAcentral.
UGGGGAAUAUUGCACAAUGGGCGAAAGCCUGAUGCAGCAACGCCGCGUGAGGGACGACGGCCUUCGGGUUGUAAACCUCUUUUAGCAAGGAAGAAGCGAAAGUGACGGUACUUGCAGAAAAAGCGCCGGCUAACUACGUGCCAGCAGCCGCGGUAAUACGUAGGGCGCAAGCGUUAUCCGGAAUUAUUGGGCGUAAAGAGCUCGUAGGCGGUUUGUCGCGUCUGCUGUGAAAACCCGAGGCUCAACCUCGGGCCUGCAGUGGGUACGGGCAGACUAGAGUGCGGUAGGGGAGAUUGGAACUCCUGGUGUAGCGGUGGAAUGCGCAGAUAUCAGGGAGAACACCGAUGGCGAAGGCAGAUCUCUGGGCCGUAACUGACGCUGAGGAGCGAAAGGGUGGGGAGCAAACAGGCUUAGAUGACCCUGGUAGUCCACCCCGUAAACGUU